Pelobates cultripes (western spadefoot toad) is the source of this 127-nucleotide non-coding RNA. The record is from the annotation of a GenBank genome assembly. NCBI's taxonomy places the organism in Eukaryota, Metazoa, Chordata, Amphibia, Anura, Pelobatidae.
CACACACACACACAGCAGUGUGUGUAUGUGUGUAUAUAUGUGUAUGUGUAUAUAUAUACAUAUAUAUAUAUACACAUAUAUAUAUACACAUACAUACAUAUAUAUAUGCGGCAUGUGCUUGUGCUUU